UUCACUCUCUCUACUCUCCCUCCUUUUUUCACUCUCAAUCCCUCCUUCACUCUCUCUACUCUCCCUCCCUUUCUCACUCUCAAUUCCUCCCUCUCUAUUACCUCUCUCUUUCACUCUCUCUCUCCAUCCUUUAUCACUCUGUUUACUUACUCACUCACUUUCUCCAUCUCUCUCUAUCCCCAAUAUAUCCCUCUCUCGCCAUCCCUUCUUCCCUCUCACUUUCUCUCUCCCUACUUCAUCACUCUGUUUACUCCCUCUAUUACUUUCUUUCCCUCCCUCCCUCCUUUUCUCCCUCUCUCUUACCUCUCUUGCACUCUUUCUCUCUCCAUCCUUCAUCAAUCUGUUUACUCACUCCCUUUCUCCAUCUCUCCCUAUUCCCAAUAUAUCCCUCCCUCCUUUCUUCAAUUUUUCUCUUGCUUUCUUUUCCUCCCUCCCUCCCUCUCUCUCUACUGUUUUAAACCUCUCUCCAUACUUCAUCACUCUGUUUACUCUCUCUAUUACUUUCUUUCCCUCCUUCCCUCUUUUCCUCCCUCUCUUACCUCUCUUCCACUCUUUCUCUCUCUCCAUUCUUCAUCACUCUGUUUACUCUCUCUAUUACUUUCUUUCCCUCCUUCCCUCUUUUCCUCCCUCUCUUACCUCUCUUCCACUCUUUCUCUCUCUCCAUUCUUCAUCACUCUGUUUACUCACUCACUCCCUUUCUCCAUCCCUCCCUCUCUCUGUUCCCAAUAUAUCCCUCUCUCGGUUUCUUUCUAUUAUCCAUCCUCGGUUUCUCGGUGCGUGCGUGUGUGUAUGAGAUGCGUUAAUAAUGAAAAUAUCGUUUCGGACUUACUGAGCGCGAGCGCGCGCUCGACUUCGAUUCUGUUUGUGCGUGCGCGCGCCUGCGUGAGUGCGUGUACACGGCUGCGUGUAUACGAGUGUGUGUGUGUGUGUGUGUGCGUUUGCGUGUGUUUGAGUGUGAGUGUGUGUGCGUGCGUGCGUGUGUCACGUGCCGACAUGGGGCAUUUUUUUGCAGGCUGGCCGAGCCGCCUACAUGCUCGCGCUGAGCGCCGCGGUGGCUCUGCCUGCAGCCCUGAUGCCACUUCUCCGCGCGAGCCGUCAGACUAG
This 1104-nucleotide long non-coding RNA is filed under the name Astyanax mexicanus (Mexican tetra). Its description in RNAcentral is "lncRNA (ENSAMXG00005016380.1)". Lineage: Eukaryota; Metazoa; Chordata; Actinopteri; Characiformes; Acestrorhamphidae. The record is from RNAcentral.